RNAcentral lists this ribosomal RNA (253 nucleotides) under uncultured bacterium. RNAcentral's name for it is "partial 16S ribosomal RNA". It matches the Rfam family "Bacterial small subunit ribosomal RNA", at positions 524 to 776 of the family's 1533-position model. The record is from RNAcentral.
UACGAAGGGGGCUAGCGUUGCUCGGAAUGACUGGGCGUAAAGGGCGCGUAGGCGGUUUGGACAGUCAGAUGUGAAAUUCCUGGGCUCAACCUGGGGGCUGCAUUUGAUACGUUCGGACUAGAGUGGGGAAGAGGGUCGUGGAAUUCCCAGUGUAGAGGUGAAAUUCGUAGAUAUUGGGAAGAACACCGGUGGCGAAGGCGGCGACCUGGCCCGAUACUGACGCUGAGGCACGAAAGCGUGGGGAGCGAACAGG